GAUGUACGCUGGCGGCGUGCCUAAUACAUGCAAGUCGAGCGAACAGACGAGGAGCUUGCUCCUCUGACGUUAGCGGCGGACGGGUGAGUAACACGUGGAUAACCUACCUAUAAGACUGGGAUAACUUCGGGAAACCGGAGCUAAUACCGGAUAAUAUAUUGAACCGCAUGGUUCAAUAGUGAAAGACGGUUUUGCUGUCACUUAUAGAUGGAUCCGCGCCGCAUUAGCUAGUUGGUAAGGUAACGGCUUACCAAGGCAACGAUGCGUAGCCGACCUGAGAGGGUGAUCGGCCACACUGGAACUGAGACACGGUCCAGACUCCUACGGGAGGCAGCAGUAGGGAAUCUUCCGCAAUGGGCGAAAGCCUGACGGAGCAACGCCGCGUGAGUGAUGAAGGUCUUCGGAUCGUAAAACUCUGUUAUUAGGGAAGAACAAAUGUGUAAGUAACUACGCACGUCUUGACGGUACCUAAUCAGAAAGCCACGGCUAACUACGUG
RNAcentral lists this ribosomal RNA (497 nucleotides) under uncultured bacterium. RNAcentral's name for it is "partial 16S ribosomal RNA". It matches the Rfam family "Bacterial small subunit ribosomal RNA", at positions 28 to 507 of the family's 1533-position model. The record is from RNAcentral.